GGGAGCUGUAAGUAUUUUGGACAGAGGAAGUCUGUGAUUACAGAAAUUAUGUGAAUUUAGAUUAUUGGAGUGAAGUCUGUUAUUCUUGGUAUUGGAUGGAAAUUAUUAUGGUUUGAGCAGUCUUUUGAGAGUGUAGGAUUGUACACUAUUGUUAUUAGUUGAUGAAUGAGUAUUGUUAUUGAGAGAAAGCAUUGUAGUAUUUCUUAGUAUUUCAGUGGUUUGAAAUACGGUUAAUUGUGUGAUCCUAACAAGUAAAACUCAUGUACUUAGUCUUUUCUUGUAUUCCAAUUCUCUUAUAUAGUUUAUUUUGAAAGAAAUUAUAAAAUAAGUAAAAC
RNAcentral lists this long non-coding RNA (335 nucleotides) under Physcomitrium patens. RNAcentral's name for it is "long non-coding RNA (PPAT_LNC001376)". Lineage: Eukaryota; Viridiplantae; Streptophyta; Bryopsida; Funariales; Funariaceae. The record is from RNAcentral.